RNAcentral lists this ribosomal RNA (583 nucleotides) under Saccharata sp. 1 ICMP 18939. RNAcentral describes it as "eukaryotic LSU rRNA". The stretch from base 227 to 380 matches the Rfam family "5.8S ribosomal RNA". Lineage: Eukaryota; Fungi; Ascomycota; Dothideomycetes; Botryosphaeriales; Saccharataceae. The record is from RNAcentral.
GAGGAAGUAAAAGUCGUAACAAGGUUUCCGUAGGUGAACCUGCGGAAGGAUCAUUAACGAGUUCUGGGUCCUUCGGGGCCCGUCCUCCAACCCUUUGUUUACAAACCACGUUGCUUCGGCGGGUAGCCGGUCCGCCUCGUGCGGUCCCGGGUCACUGCCCGCCGGAGGAUUAUUUCAAACCCUUGCUUCAAAACAAUGCAGUCUGAUCGAAUAUCAAAUAUUCUAAAACUUUCAACAACGGAUCUCUUGGUUCUGGCAUCGAUGAAGAACGCAGCGAAAUGCGAUAAGUAAUGUGAAUUGCAGAAUUCAGUGAAUCAUCGAAUCUUUGAACGCACAUUGCGCCCCUUGGUAUUCCGAGGGGCAUGCCUGUUCGAGCGUCAUUACACCCCUCAAGCACUGCUUGGUAUUGGGCCUCGUCCUUACUGGACGGGCCUUAAAGACCUCGGCGGCGGCGUCGCAGCCUCAAGCGUAGUAAUUCUUUCUCGCUUUGGAGGUCGCGACGUCUCCCGCCGGACGAACCUUUUUACUUCUAUCAAGGUUGACCUCGGAUCAGGUAGGGAUACCCGCUGAACUUAAGCAUAUC